This 207-nucleotide ribosomal RNA is filed under the name uncultured bacterium. Its description in RNAcentral is "partial 16S ribosomal RNA". It matches the Rfam family "Bacterial small subunit ribosomal RNA", at positions 568 to 774 of the family's 1533-position model. The record is from RNAcentral.
UGUGUAGGUGGCGCCGUAAGUCGGGUGUGAAAUUUCGGAGCUUAACUCCGAAACUGCAUUCGACACUGCGGUGCUUGAGGACUGGAGAGGAGACUGGAAUUCAUGGUGUAGCAGUGAAAUGCGUAGAGAUCAUGAGGAAGACCAGUGGCGAAGGCGGGUCUCUGGACAGUUCCUGACACUGAGACACGAAGGCCAGGGGAGCAAACG